RNAcentral lists this ribosomal RNA (1225 nucleotides) under human gut metagenome. RNAcentral describes it as "bacterial LSU rRNA". It matches the Rfam family "Bacterial large subunit ribosomal RNA", at positions 931 to 2172 of the family's 2925-position model. The record is from RNAcentral.
ACCGCCUACCGAAACCUAUCAAACUGCGAAUGCCGGAUAAAUGAUGUGCGGGAGUCAGGCCGCGAGAGAUAAGUUCCGCGGUCAAAAGGGGAACACCCCAGAUCGUCUGCUAAGGUCCCCAAGUACGCGUUAAGUGGGAAAGGAUGUUGGAUUGCACAGACAACCAGGAUGUUGGCUUAGAAGCAGCCACACAUUCAAAGAGUGCGUAAUAGCUCACUGGUCGAGUGAUCCAGCGCCGAAAAUGUAACGGGGCUAAAACGCGACACCGAAGCAGCGGGAUGCGUAAGCAUCGGUAGAGGAGCAUUGUGUGAGGGUUGAAGCCAGAGCGGGAGCACUGGUGGACUUCACAGAAGAGAGAAUGCCGGUAUGAGUAGCGAGACCCAUGCGAGAAACAUGGGCGUCGAAGGCCCAAGGUUUCCUGGGGAAGGUUCAUCCACCCAGGGUAAGUCGGGACCUAAGCCGAGGACUGAGGUCGUAGGCGAUGGACAGCAGGUAGAGAUUCCUGCACCACUUACACUUGUUAGACGAAGCAGUGACACAGAAGGAUAGGACGAGCGCGGUGAUGGUCAACCGCGUAGGCGGCACGAGGCUGGGGAGCAGUUAAGUACACUUCCCAAGAAGGCUGAGUGCUGACAGGACCGAAAAAGAGUAGGGAAGCGUCUGAGUUCACGCUGGCGAGAAAAGCUGCUAAGGAGAGUGUGAGUGCCCGUACCGGAAACCGACGCAGGUGGGCGAGGAGAGAAUCCUGAGACGGACGGGAGAACUCUUGUUAAGGAACUCGGCAAAAUGACCCCGUAACUUCGGGAGAAGGGGUGCCUCGAAAGAGGCCGCAGAGAAUAGUCACAAGCGACUGUUUAGCAAAAACACAGGUAUCUGCGAAAGCGAGAGCUGACGUAUAGGUGCUGACGCCUGCCCGGUGCUGGAAGGUUAAGGGGAAGUGUUAGGGGAAACCCGAAGCAGAGAACCGAAGCCCCAGUAAACGGCGGCCGUAACUAUAACGGUCCUAAGGUAGCGAAAUUCCUUGUCGGGUAAGUUCCGACCCGCACGAAUGGCGUAACGACUUGUGAGCUGUCUCAACAGGAGGCCCGGUGAAAUUGAAGUAUGUGUGAAGAUGCACAUUACCCGCGACUGGACGGAAAGACCCCGUAGAGCUUUACUGUAACCUGACAUUGGAUCUUGAUAACGGAUGCACAGGAUAGGUGGGACGCUGGGAGGGAUGGACUUU